UACCGACAGGUGGUUUUACAAGUCAGAAGUGAAAUCUUCAAGCUUAACUUGGAGAAUGUCUUUUGAAACUGUAAAACUUGAGGAGCAAAGAGGAAGCUGGAACCAGCGGUGUAGUAGUGAAAUGCGUUGAUAUCGCUGGGAACACCAAUAGCGUAGGCAGGCUUCUGGGUGCCUCCUGACACUGCUAGGACGAAAGCGUGGGGAGCGAUAAGGAUUAGAUACCCUUGUAGUCCACGCUGUAAACGAUGUACGUUAGGUGCUAGGGAGUAUCGACCCUUCUUGGUACCAAAGCUAACGCGUUAAACGUACCGCCUGGGGAGUACGGCCGCAAGGCUAAA
This 338-nucleotide ribosomal RNA is filed under the name uncultured bacterium. Its description in RNAcentral is "bacterial SSU rRNA". It matches the Rfam family "Bacterial small subunit ribosomal RNA", at positions 568 to 898 of the family's 1533-position model. The record is from RNAcentral.